AGGGUUUGAUUAUGGCUCAGGAUGAACGCUGGCGGCGUGCUUAACACAUGCAAGUCGAACGGGAUCGGCUGGAGCUUGCUCCGGCCGUGAGAGUGGCGAACGGGUGAGUAAUGCGUGACCGACCUGCCCCGUACACCGGAAUAGCUCCUGGAAACGGGUGGUAAUGCCGGAUGCUCCAGUCCAUCGCAUGGUGGUCUGGGAAAGAUUUUAUCGGUAUGGGAUGGGGUCGCGUCCUAUCAGGUAGUCGGCGGGGUAACGGCCCACCGAGCCUACGACGGGUAGCCGGCCUGAGAGGGCGACCGGCCACAUUGGGACUGAGAUACGGCCCAG
This 330-nucleotide ribosomal RNA is filed under the name uncultured bacterium. RNAcentral describes it as "bacterial SSU rRNA". It matches the Rfam family "Bacterial small subunit ribosomal RNA", at positions 8 to 334 of the family's 1533-position model. The record is from RNAcentral.